GCCCCCGUAGCUCAAUGGAUCGAGUGCCGGGCUUCGGACCCGGAGAUGAGGGUUCGAUUCCUUCCGGGGGCACCA
RNAcentral lists this transfer RNA (75 nucleotides) under Candidatus Nealsoniibacteriota bacterium. RNAcentral describes it as "Candidatus Nealsonbacteria bacterium tRNA-Arg". It matches the Rfam family "tRNA". From Rfam's summary of the family: Transfer RNA (tRNA) molecules are approximately 80 nucleotides in length. Their secondary structure includes four short double-helical elements and three loops (D, anti-codon, and T loops). Further hydrogen bonds mediate the characteristic L-shaped molecular structure. tRNAs have two regions of fundamental functional importance: the anti-codon, which is responsible for specific mRNA codon recognition, and the 3' end, to which the tRNAs corresponding amino acid is attached (by aminoacyl-tRNA synthetases). tRNAs cope with the degeneracy of the genetic code in two manners: having more than one tRNA (with a specific anti-codon) for a particular amino acid; and 'wobble' base-pairing, i.e. permitting non-standard base-pairing at the 3rd anti-codon position. Lineage: Bacteria; Candidatus Nealsoniibacteriota. The record is from RNAcentral.